Molecule: ribosomal RNA, 2908 nt
Filed under: Klebsiella pneumoniae
Lineage: Bacteria; Pseudomonadati; Pseudomonadota; Gammaproteobacteria; Enterobacterales; Enterobacteriaceae
Description: 23S ribosomal RNA
Rfam family: Bacterial large subunit ribosomal RNA
Source: RNAcentral
GGGUUGUGAGGUUAAGCGACUAAGCGUACACGGUGGAUGCCCUGGCAGUCAGAGGCGAUGAAGGACGUGCUAAUCUGCGAAAAGCGUCGGUAAGGUGAUAUGAACCGUUACAGCCGGCGAUGUCCGAAUGGGGAAACCCAGUGCAAUUCGUUGCACUAUCGUUAACUGAAUACAUAGGUUAACGAGGCGAACCGGGGGAACUGAAACAUCUAAGUACCCCGAGGAAAAGAAAUCAACCGAGAUUCCCCCAGUAGCGGCGAGCGAACGGGGAGCAGCCCAGAGUCUGAAUCAGCUUGUGUGUUAGUGGAACGGUCUGGAAAGUCCGACGGUACAGGGUGAUAGUCCCGUACACCAAAAUGCACAGGUUGUGAACUCGAAGAGUAGGGCGGGACACGUGGUAUCCUGUCUGAAUAUGGGGACCAUCCUCCAAGGCUAAAUACUCCUGACUGACCGAUAGUGAACCAGUACCGUGAGGGAAAGGCGAAAAGAACCCCGGCGAGGGGAGAAAAGAACCUGAAACCGUGUACGUACAAGCAGUGGGAGCACCUUCGGGUGUGACUGCGUACCUUUGUAUAAUGGGUCAGCGACUUAUAUUCUGUAGCAAGGUUAACCGUAUAGGGAGCCGCAGGGAAACCGAGUCUUAACUGGGCGUUAAGUUGCAGGGUAUAGACCCGAAACCCGGUGAUCUAGCCAUGGGCAGGUUGAAGGUUGGGUAACACUAACUGGAGGACCGAACCGACUAAUGUUGAAAAAUUAGCGGAUGACUUGUGGCUGGGGGUGAAAGGCCAAUCAAACCGGGAGAUAGCUGGUUCUCCCCGAAAGCUAUUUAGGUAGCGCCUCGUGAACUCAUCUUCGGGGGUAGAGCACUGUUUCGGCUAGGGGGUCAUCCCGACUUACCAACCCGAUGCAAACUACGAAUACCGAAGAAUGUUAUCACGGGAGACACACGGCGGGUGCUAACGUCCGUCGUGAAGAGGAAACAACCCAGACCGCCAGCUAAGGUCCCAAAGUCAUGGUUAAGUGGGAAACGAUGUGGGAAGGCACAGACAGCCAGGAUGUUGGCUUAGAAGCAGCCAUCAUUUAAAGAAAGCGUAAUAGCUCACUGGUCGAGUCGGCCUGCGCGGAAGAUGUAACGGGGCUAAACCAUGCACCGAAGCUGCGGCAGCGACACUAUGUGUUGUUGGGUAGGGGAGCGUUCUGUAAGCCUGCGAAGGUGUGCUGUGAGGCAUGCUGGAGGUAUCAGAAGUGCGAAUGCUGACAUAAGUAACGAUAAAGCGGGUGAAAAGCCCGCUCGCCGGAAGACCAAGGGUUCCUGUCCAACGUUAAUCGGGGCAGGGUGAGUCGACCCCUAAGGCGAGGCCGAAAGGCGUAGUCGAUGGGAAACAGGUUAAUAUUCCUGUACUUGGUGUUACUGCGAAGGGGACGGAGAAGGCUAUGUUAGCCGGGCGACGGUUGUCCCGGUUUAAGCAUGUAGGCUGGUUAUCGGGCAAAUCCGGAUAAUCAAGGCUGAGGUGUGAUGACGAGGCACUACGGUGCUGAAGUAACAAAUGCCCUGCUUCGGGAAAAGCCUCUAAGCAUCAGGUAACAUCAAAUCGUACCCCAAACCGACACAGGUGGUCAGGUAGAGAAUACCAAGGCGCUUGAGAGAACUCGGGUGAAGGAACUAGGCAAAAUGGUGCCGUAACUUCGGGAGAAGGCACGCUGGUGUGUAGGUGAAGUCCCUGCGGAUGGAGCUGAGACCAGUCGAAGAUACCAGCUGGCUGCAACUGUUUAUUAAAACACAGCACUGUGCAAACACGAAAGUGGACGUAUACGGUGUGACGCCUGCCCGGUGCCGGAAGGUUAAUUGAUGGGGUUAUCCGUAAGGAGAAGCUCUUGAUCGAAGCCCCGGUAAACGGCGGCCGUAACUAUAACGGUCCUAAGGUAGCGAAAUUCCUUGUCGGGUAAGUUCCGACCUGCACGAAUGGCGUAAUGAUGGCCAGGCUGUCUCCACCCGAGACUCAGUGAAAUUGAACUCGCUGUGAAGAUGCAGUGUACCCGCGGCAAGACGGAAAGACCCCGUGAACCUUUACUAUAGCUUGACACUGAACAUUGAGCCUUGAUGUGUAGGAUAGGUGGGAGGCUUUGAAGCGUGGACGCCAGUCUGCGUGGAGCCAACCUUGAAAUACCACCCUUUAAUGUUUGAUGUUCUAACGUUGGCCCCUGACCGGGGUUGCGGACAGUGUCUGGUGGGUAGUUUGACUGGGGCGGUCUCCUCCCAAAGCGUAACGGAGGAGCACGAAGGUUAGCUAAUCCUGGUCGGACAUCAGGAGGUUAGUGCAAUGGCAUAAGCUAGCUUGACUGCGAGCGUGACGGCGCGAGCAGGUGCGAAAGCAGGUCAUAGUGAUCCGGUGGUUCUGAAUGGAAGGGCCAUCGCUCAACGGAUAAAAGGUACUCCGGGGAUAACAGGCUGAUACCGCCCAAGAGUUCAUAUCGACGGCGGUGUUUGGCACCUCGAUGUCGGCUCAUCACAUCCGGGCUGAAGUAGGUCCCAAGGGUAUGGCUGUUCGCCAUUUAAAGUGGUACGCGAGCUGGGUUUAGAACGUCGUGAGACAGUUCGGUCCCUAUCUGCCGUGGGCGCUGGAGAAUUGAGGGGGGCUGCUCCUAGUACGAGAGGACCGGAGUGGACGCAUCACUGGUGUUCGGGUUGUCAUGCCAAUGGCACUGCCCGGUAGCUAAAUGCGGAAGAGAUAAGUGCUGAAAGCAUCUAAGCACGAAACUUGCCCCGAGAUGAGUUCUCCCUGAGACUAUAAGUCUCCUGAAGGAACGUUGAAGACGACGACGUUGAUAGGCCGGGUGUGUAAGCGCAGCGAUGCGUUGAGCUAACCGGUACUAAUGAACCGUGAGGCUUAACCUUACAACGCCGAAG